CCUACGGGAGGCUGCAGUGGGGAAUAUUGCACAAUGGGCGCAAGCCUGAUGCAGCAACGCCGCGUGAAGGAAGACGGUUUUCGGAUUGUAAACUUCUAUCAUCAGGGACGAAAAAAAUGACGGUACCUGAAUAAGAAGCCCCGGCUAACUACGUGCCAGCAGCCGCGGUAAUACGUAGGGGGCAAGCGUUAUCCGGAAUUACUGGGUGUAAAGGGUGAGUAGGCGGCAUGAUAAGUUAGAUGUGAAAGCCCAAGGCUUAACUUUGGGAUUGCAUUUAAAACUACUAAGCUAGAGUACAGGAGAGGUAAGCGGAAUUCCUAGUGUAGCGGUGAAAUGCGUAGAUAUUAGGAAGAACACCGGUGGCGAAGGCGGCUUACUGGACUGAAACUGACGCUGAGGCACGAAAGCGUGGGGAGCAAACAGGAUUAGAUACCCGAGUAGUC
This 443-nucleotide ribosomal RNA is filed under the name uncultured Clostridium sp. RNAcentral describes it as "bacterial SSU rRNA". It matches the Rfam family "Bacterial small subunit ribosomal RNA", at positions 338 to 795 of the family's 1533-position model. Lineage: Bacteria; Bacillati; Bacillota; Clostridia; Eubacteriales; Clostridiaceae. The record is from RNAcentral.